Molecule: non-coding RNA, 121 nt
Filed under: Chitinophaga eiseniae
Lineage: Bacteria; Pseudomonadati; Bacteroidota; Chitinophagia; Chitinophagales; Chitinophagaceae
Description: SAM-I sequence
Rfam family: SAM riboswitch aptamer (S box leader)
About the family: The SAM riboswitch is found upstream of a number of genes which code for proteins involved in methionine or cysteine biosynthesis in Gram-positive bacteria. The SAM riboswitch acts at the level of transcription termination control.
Source: RNAcentral
CACUUAUCCAGAAAGGCGGAGGGACUUGGCCCUGCGAUGCCUUAGCAACCUUUCCGGACCAGCAUUUGGUCGGGAAAAAGGUGCUAAUUCCUGCCCCGGUAUUACCGGGGAAAGAUAAGUU